Molecule: ribosomal RNA, 496 nt
Filed under: uncultured bacterium
Lineage: Bacteria
Description: partial 16S ribosomal RNA
Rfam family: Bacterial small subunit ribosomal RNA
Source: RNAcentral
GAUGAACGCUGGCGGCGUGCCUAAUACAUGCAAGUCGAGCGAACAGACGAGGAGCUUGCUCCUCUGACGUUAGCGGCGGACGGGUGAGUAACACGUGGAUAACCUACCUAUAAGACUGGGAUAACUUCGGGAAACCGGAGCUAAUACCGGAUAAUAUAUUGAACCGCAUGGUUCAAUAGUGAAAGACGGUUUUGCUGUCACUUAUAGAUGGAUCCGCGCCGCAUUAGCUAGUUGGUAAGGUAACGGCUUACCAAGGCAACGAUGCGUAGCCGACCUGAGAGGUUGAUCGGCCACACUGGAACUGAGACACGGUCCAGACUCCUACGGGAGGCAGCAGUGGGAAUCUUCCGCAAUGGGCGAAAGCCUGACGGAGCAACGCCGCGUGAGUGAUGAAGGUCUUCGGAUCGUAAAACUCUGUUAUUAGGGAAGAACAAAUGUGUAAGUAACUAUGCACGUCUUGACGGUACCUAAUCAGAAAGCCACGGCUAACUACGUG